UCCGAAUUUUUGACGAGCGCAUCUAUUAGAUUAAAACCAAUCGGGUUUCGGCCCGUUUGUUGGUGACUCUGAAUAACUAUGGCUGAUCGCAUGGUCUAGAACCGGCGACGUGUCUAUCAAGUGUCUGCCUUAUCAACUGUCGAUGGUAGUUUAUGUGCCUACCAUGGUUGUAACGGGUAACGGAGAAUAAGGGUUCGACUCCGGAGAGGGAGCCUGAGAAACGGCUACCACAUCCAAGGAAGGCAGCAGGCGCGCAAAUUACCCACUCUCGGCAUGAGGAGGUAGUGACGAAAAAUAACGAGACCGUUCUCUAUGAGGCCGGUUAUCGGAAUGGGUACAAUUUAAACCCGUUAACGAGGAUCUAUGAGAGGGCAAGUCUGGUGCCAGCAGCCGCGGUAAUUCCAGCUCUCAAAGUGUAUAUCGUCAUUGCUGCGGUUAAAAAGCUCGUAGUUGGAUCUGCGCCUCAGGACCUGGUCCGCCCACUGGGUGAGAACUGGGCUCCUGGGCUAGUUCUGCUGGUUUUCCCUGCGUUGCCUUCAUCGGUAGCGUAGGGUGGCUAGCGAGUUUACUUUGAAAAAAUUAGAGUGCUUCACGCGGGCUUAUGUCUGAAUACUCGUGCAUGGAAUAAUAGAAUAGGAUCUCGGCUCUAUUUUGUUGGUUUUCUGAUCUGAGAUAAUGGUUAAGAGGGACGGACGGGGGCAUUCGUAUCGCUGCGUGAGAGGUGAAAUUCUUGGACCGUAGCGAGACGUCCGACUGCGAAAGCAUUUGCCAAGAAUGUCUUCAUUAAUCAAGAACGAAAGUCAGAGGUUCGA
This 812-nucleotide ribosomal RNA is filed under the name Hysterothylacium aduncum. Its description in RNAcentral is "SSU rRNA". It matches the Rfam family "Eukaryotic small subunit ribosomal RNA", at positions 182 to 1001 of the family's 1831-position model. The record is from RNAcentral. Lineage: Eukaryota; Metazoa; Nematoda; Chromadorea; Rhabditida; Raphidascarididae.